CUCGGUCUUUGUUCAUAGUCUAUGAAAUAGCGAUAUGGCUAUUUCAUAGACGUAGUUAGGUAAAAUUUUAUGUUAUUUUGUAAAGUAAUAAAGAACAGAAAAUCUAUGUGAUUCGAUGAAGAAUGAGAACAAAUCAUGAGAUAUUUUCUAGAAAAUAAAAUGGGAAAUUCAAAAUGCAUGGCAUUGGGAAUGAAGGAAGUGUGUCUAGUUGUAUAUAUUAUUCUGGUGUGUAACAUACAAAUGUGCCUAGUUGUCUUCUUUUUGCAUGUAAGUGGCUAGGGAGCUUUUUAUAGUGUUCUUUUGGU
This 305-nucleotide long non-coding RNA is filed under the name Trifolium pratense (red clover). Its description in RNAcentral is "long non-coding RNA (TPRA_LNC006740)". The record is from RNAcentral. Lineage: Eukaryota; Viridiplantae; Streptophyta; Magnoliopsida; Fabales; Fabaceae.